CGCCAGCUAGCUCAGUUGGCAGAGCAUGGGACUCUUGAUCUCCGGAUUGUGGGUUUGAGCCCCACGCUGGGUG
This 73-nucleotide transfer RNA is filed under the name Pangasius djambal. Its description in RNAcentral is "tRNA-Lys". It matches the Rfam family "tRNA". Rfam says of the family: Transfer RNA (tRNA) molecules are approximately 80 nucleotides in length. The record is from RNAcentral. Lineage: Eukaryota; Metazoa; Chordata; Actinopteri; Siluriformes; Pangasiidae.